GUUAGGAAUAUUGGACAAUGGGCGCAAGCCUGAUCCAGCCAUGCCGCGUGAGUGAUGAAGGCCUUAGGGUUGUAAAGCUCUUUCAGUGGGGACGAUAAUGACGGUACCCACAGAAGAAGCCCCGGCUAACUUCGUGCCAGCAGCCGCGGUAAUACGAAGGGGGCUAGCGUUGUUCGGAUUUACUGGGCGUAAAGCGCACGUAGGCGGAUCGUUAAGUCGGGGGUGAAAUCCUGGAGCUCAACUCCAGAACUGCCUUCGAUACUGGCGAUCUUGAGUCCGGAAGAGGUGAGUGGAACUCCUAGUGUAGAGGUGGAAUUCGUAGAUAUUAGGAAGAACACCAGUGGCGAAGGCGGCUCACUGGUCCGGUACUGACGCUGAGGUGCGAAAGCGUGGGGAGCAAACAGGAUUAGAAACCCGAGUAGUCC
RNAcentral lists this ribosomal RNA (425 nucleotides) under uncultured bacterium. Its description in RNAcentral is "bacterial SSU rRNA". It matches the Rfam family "Bacterial small subunit ribosomal RNA", at positions 354 to 796 of the family's 1533-position model. The record is from RNAcentral.